This 424-nucleotide ribosomal RNA is filed under the name uncultured bacterium. RNAcentral's name for it is "bacterial SSU rRNA". It matches the Rfam family "Bacterial small subunit ribosomal RNA", at positions 28 to 448 of the family's 1533-position model. The record is from RNAcentral.
GACGAACGCUGGCGGCGUGCUUAACACAUGCAAGUCUACGAGAACGAGGUAGCAAUAUCUUUAUUAAAGUGGCGCACGGGUGAGUAACACGUAAGUAACCUACCUUUAGAUUUGGAAUAACCCCGAGAAAUCGGGGCUAAUACCGAAUGAUGCAGCGGCACCACAUGGUGAUGUUGUUAAAGUCUAUAUGACGUCUAAAGAUGGGCUUGCGUCUGAUUAGCUAGUUGGUGAGGUAACGGCCCACCAAGGCUACGAUCAGUAGCUGGUCUGAGAGGAUGAUCAGCCACACUGGAACUGAGACACGGUCCAGACUCCUACGGGAGGCAGCAGUGAGGAAUAUUGGGCAAUGCCCGCAAGGGUGACCCAGCAACGCCGCGUGGAGGAUGAAUGCCGUAAGGUUGUAAACUCCUGUUAGAGGGGAAGA